Molecule: ribosomal RNA, 429 nt
Filed under: uncultured bacterium
Lineage: Bacteria
Description: bacterial SSU rRNA
Rfam family: Bacterial small subunit ribosomal RNA
Source: RNAcentral
GAGUUUGAUCCUGGCUCAGAAUGAACGCUGGCGGCAUGCCUAACACAUGCAAGGGGAACGAAGGCUUCGGCCUUAGUGGCGCACGGGUGCGUAACGCGUGGGAAUCUGCCCUCAGGUUCGGAAUAACAGCGAGAAAUUGCUGCUAAUACCGGAUGAUAUCGCGAGAUCAAAGAUUUAUCGCCUGAGGAUGAGCCCGCGUAGGAUUAGCUAGUUGGUGUGGUAAAGGCGCACCAGGGCGACGAUCCUUAGCUGGUCUGAGAGGAUGAUCAUCCACACUGGGACUGAGACACGGCCCAGACUCCUACGGUAGGCAGCAGUGGGGAAUAUUGGACGAUGGGCGAAAGCCUGAUCCAGCAAUGCCGCGUGAGUGAUGAAGGCCUUAGGUUGUAAAGCUCUUUUACCCGGGAUGAUAAUGACAGUACCGGGAGA